CCUACGGGGGCAGCAGUGGGGAAUAUUGGACAAUGGGCGAAAGCCUGAUCCAGCCAUGCCGCGUGUGUGAAGAAGGCCUUCGGGUUGUAAAGCACUUUCAGUGGGGAAGAAAGCCUUGGGGCUAAUACCCUCGAGGAAGGACAUCACCCACAGAAGAAGCACCGGCUAACUCCGUGCCAGCAGCCGCGGUAAUACGGAGGGUGCGGGCGUUAAUCGGAAUUACUGGGCGUAAAGCGCGCGUAGGCGGUCUGAUAAGCCGGUUGUGAAAGCCCCGGGCUCAACCUGGGAACGGCAUCCGGAACUGUCAGGCUAGAGUGCAGGAGAGGAAGGUAGAAUUCCCGGUGUAGCGGUGAAAUGCGUAGAGAUCGGGAGGAAUACCAGUGGCGAAGGCGGCCUUCUGGACUGACACUGACGCUGAGGUGCGAAAGCGUGGGUAGCAAACAGGAUUAGAUACCCCAGUAGUC
This 464-nucleotide ribosomal RNA is filed under the name Vreelandella stevensii. RNAcentral's name for it is "partial 16S ribosomal RNA". It matches the Rfam family "Bacterial small subunit ribosomal RNA", at positions 338 to 795 of the family's 1533-position model. Lineage: Bacteria; Pseudomonadati; Pseudomonadota; Gammaproteobacteria; Oceanospirillales; Halomonadaceae. The record is from RNAcentral.